UUUGAAAGAGAGUUAAAAAGUACUUGAAAUUGCGGAGAGCAGAAGGGAUGGCGACUAGUACUGGUCUAGAGGAUUUUUGUGUUGGAUAGCUCGAGUUUGUGUUUCUGGAUUGGCUCUGCCUUCCACCUGCAUCUACAACAGGUUAUGCGCACGUCCUGUCCUCUGGACUUAGGUCAGAAUGGGUUAGGUUCGAUUGAAGCAGGUAUUGUGAAGGUAACUUAGCCCUCGGGUUAUGAACAUAUAGCACAAUACUUUAGCCAGAUCGUCCUUGACCGAGGUGCUAAAAUGUGCGCUCUAAGCUGGGGA
RNAcentral lists this ribosomal RNA (306 nucleotides) under uncultured Oomycota. RNAcentral describes it as "eukaryotic LSU rRNA". Lineage: Eukaryota; Oomycota. The record is from RNAcentral.